CAUACGAAACCGGGCUUAAAUAACUUCCUUUCUCUCACCACGACCAGAAUUCUGGUUCCUUUCUCUCUUGGCUGGCGAUUUCUAGCAAUUGAGAAACAGCGCCGAACGAUUUUUGGUCUGUUGCACUCUUUUGAUGAACUUGGUAUUGGGAAUUUGGGAUACUCAAUCAAGGGAGGUCUGUAGUAUUUAUUACUAAGUUGCUAUUUCCAACAGUUCUAUGCCUUCUCUCAGAAGAUAAAUUUCUCACUACAAGCAAUGGCUCAAAUGGACGGGAUUUACAAAAACAGAAUAGCAACAUUUCUGCGGGCAUUGUAUGCAUCAAAAUAUGCUAAGGAAGAUAACAUUCCAUGCCAACUUGAAGAGGGUCUCUUCCUAGGUUCUGUUGGGGUUGCAUAUAACAAGGAUGCCUUGAAGGGGUUGAAUGUUACUCAUAUAUUAACAGUGGCGAAAUCUUUGGAGCCUGCAUAUCCAGACGAUUUCAUAUACAAGAAAAUUGAAGUGCUUGACAGCCCAGAUACAAAUUUAGAGCAGCAUUUUGACGAGUGCUUUGAUUUCAUCGAUGAAGCUAAAAGAGCAGGUGGUGGCGUGUUAGUUCAUUGUUUUGCUGGAAGAUCAAGGAGUGUCACAGUUGUUGUUGCAUACUUGAUGAAAAAGCAUCAAAUGAGUCUAUCUCAGGCUUUGGACCUUGUUAGGAGUAAAAGGCCCCAAAUAGCUCCUAAUCAUGGUUUUAUUUUACAACUACAAAACUUCCAGAAAUCCCUUGGAGUGGUAUUAGGUAGUUGCCUUCCAUGGAAGUUGUGAGAGGAAUGGUCACAUAGAUUCAAGACAGAGAGGCGAUGAGACAUAAUUAUGCUAAUAAAGUACAAGGAACAGUAUGGUUACUCUCUCGACAUGUUUUCUACCUGGCCAUUCAUCUCGUGUGUGCAUUGUGAGCAAGUCUAGGACCAAAAAUCAGUGAAGCGAGAUUCAGAAAGAAAGUGAUUUGAUGUGGAAAGACUGCUCCAGUCGCACGGCAAUCGGGGCGAAACUACAAGGAGUUUGAGGUAGAAAUUGCAAUCAAGGGCACUUUUAGCUAAUUCAAACUGCCAUUUUAUUAUACUUUUCCAGAAAACUAGUAGGGAACUGCAUGUGUUGCAUGCAAGUACAUACGUGCAAGAUCCAAGUUGUUAAGGAUGGUCUUGCCAUAAAAUCAGGAUGGUCUAAUGUUUCCCAUCCUGCAUGCUGGUAUUGGUAGAUUUC
Molecule: RNA transcript, 1239 nt
Organism: Magnolia sinica
Lineage: Eukaryota; Viridiplantae; Streptophyta; Magnoliopsida; Magnoliales; Magnoliaceae
Gene name: dual specificity protein phosphatase 1-like
Exons: 8
Source: RefSeq, a predicted model, not a curated record